UGGUUUUCCUUGAUCUUUCGGGAGACUUCUCCUUCUACGAUUUUUGCAAUUGUCUUCUCUUCUUUUGGAAGAGCGUCUUUCUGGCAUUUGGAUAUCCAAUCAAUUAUGCCAUUGUUAGUCCGUUGAGUGAAAUAUCUGGCGGUGUUUAAAAAUUAUCCCGUUUGGAUAAUAUUCAGAUCUAUAAACUGCCUUGGAUUUACUAUUUACAAAACGCUAGCUCUUUCAAUUUUGUGUUGCUUUUCCCAACUAUUGACAACUAUUAGUGAGAACGAUAAGGGCUCAUCGGCCAGGUUUCACAACGUUAUUGGCCCUUGGUUUAAGGGAAAAAAAUUUUGGGUCGGGGUUCGAUUUUUGCUCGAACAUUUUUUGCUAUCUCUCUUCUUCCACCGAAAGACUUAUUCUCUCUCGACACUUAUCAAAAGAGAAAAUCGAAAACUCCUACCGCCGGAAUCGAGACUGCCCUUGAUCUCCGAUCGAUUAGCAAGCCAUGCCGAUCAGCUACAGCGAGUCCUCAUCUGAGGAUGAAGCAAUGGCCAACAUGGGCUGGACGUACGCGGAUGCUAAUUACGGCAUUCCGGCAAGAUGCUUCUGUGGUUUAGGUAUUAAGCUUGUAGUUUGUACAUGCGGACUGAAUUGUGGACGAAAGUACUACCGUUGUUCCGCCUGGUUACACGAGGGAGUGAAGAACAUAUUUUCAAAUGGUGAGAUGAGACUGUGACAGAGCAGUUCAAGAGAAUGGCGAUAAGGAUUCAAAAGCAAAAGGAGAGGGUUCAGGGUUUGACAGACUUGGCCUUAAGGGUUGACCGAUUCUCCGAUCCCAGCAUUGCAGAAGUUAAGGAGAAGCUCUGAGUGCUGCAUGGAGAAGUUUCAAGAUUGAAGCAGGACUUUCGUAAUGAAGGCGUAAGAAGAACAUGUUCUUCAAUCUUCAAGGUUUGAUUACUCAAUGGAACUAGGCGAACAAGGUCCUUCAAGCUAUGCGAACCAGAUCCUUCAAGCUUUGAAACAAGACAAGUGAAAGGCAUUGAGAAGAACGGCGAGAGGUUGUGGAGGAAGAAAAGAAGGGAUCAUGUGGCAUGCCAGUAGAAAUUUUAAUACCAUGGUUAGAGACACUCAACUACAUGAUAUAAGUGGUGAAGAUCAAGAAAGGAAAGAAGAGAAGGGGGUGCCGAUGACUGAAUGAGAAGGUCUACUCUUCGCUGAUUUCAAAACUAAAGCCUUCAUCUUUUGCGUCCUUCGACUUCUCCCUUAUUUCAAUUUCAUAUUUCGUUUGGGGUUUCAGUCAAUUUUGAGAAGCAUGAUAUAAACCACUCUCCAUCCUCUCCCCAGCCUGGUUAGGACCCAAUCAAGGGAUUUUUUUUUUUAAAAAAAAAUCUUACAAAAAGAAAGAGGAUAUUUAAAGUUAAUAAGUAUGUCACAAAUAUUCUAUUUAUGGCUAAUAUAUGAAGUCAUGGCUGAAGGUCUGAACAUCUAACUCUCCAACUUCUGAAUUUUAGUUCAUAAAAAGUGAUCGUAAUGUACAUAUUUAAUGGAAUAUCAU
Long non-coding RNA from Eutrema salsugineum, 1537 nucleotides. RefSeq lists it as uncharacterized. The transcript has 8 exons. NCBI's taxonomy places the organism in Eukaryota, Viridiplantae, Streptophyta, Magnoliopsida, Brassicales, Brassicaceae. The record is from RefSeq and is a predicted model, not a curated record.